Molecule: ribosomal RNA, 484 nt
Filed under: Pontastacus leptodactylus (narrow-clawed crayfish)
Lineage: Eukaryota; Metazoa; Arthropoda; Malacostraca; Decapoda; Astacidae
Description: Astacus leptodactylus (narrow-clawed crayfish) partial large subunit ribosomal RNA
Rfam family: Bacterial large subunit ribosomal RNA
Source: RNAcentral
ACCUGCCCAUUGGAAUCUAAAAGGCCGCGGUAUUAUGACCGUGCUAAGGUAGCAUAAUCAUUAGUCUUUUAAUUGGAGGCUGGUAUGAAUGGUUGGACAAGAAAUAAGCUGUCUUAAAUAAAAAUAUUGAAUUUUAACUUUUAAGUGAAAAGGCUUAAAUUUUCUAAGGGGACGAUAAGACCCUAUAAAACUUUAUAUUUUAAAAUAAUAAUUAAUUUUUAUAUAGAAGAUUUAUUUUUAAAUAUUUUAUUGGGGUGAUAAAGAUAAAAUGUGAGAUAACUGUCUUUUUUUUUUUACAAUUAAUAUUUGAGUAAAAGAUCUUAACAAAGGAAAUAAGAGAUUAAGUUACUUUAGGGAUAACAGCGUAAUUUUCUUUAAGAGUUCUUAUCGACAAGAAAGUUUGCGACCUCGAUGUUGAAUUAAAAGUUCUUUAUAGAGUAGAUAUUAUAAUAGAGGGUCUGUUCGACCCUUAAAAUUUUACGUG